UAGGGAAUCUUCGGCAAUGGACGGAAGUCUGACCGAGCAACGCCGCGUGAGUGAAGAAGGUUUUCGGAUCGUAAAGCUCUGUUGUUAGAGAAGAACGUUGGUAGGAGUGGAAAAUCUACCAAGUGACGGUAACUAACCAGAAAGGGACGGCUAACUACGUGCCAGCAGCCGCGGUAAUACGUAGGUCCCGAGCGUUGUACGGAUUUAUUGGGCGUAAAGCGAGCGCAGGCGGUUCUUUAAGUCUGAAGUUAAAGGCAGUGGCUUAACCAUUGUACGCUUUGAAUACUGGAGGACUGGAGUGCGGGAGGGGAGAGUGGAAUUCCAUGUGUAGCGGUGAAAUGCGAAGAUAUAAGGAGGAACACCGGUGGCGAAAGCGGCACUCUGGUAUGUAACUGACGCUGAGGCUCGAAAGCGUGGGGAGCAAACAGG
Molecule: ribosomal RNA, 429 nt
Filed under: Bacillota bacterium
Lineage: Bacteria; Bacillati; Bacillota
Description: Firmicutes bacterium partial 16S ribosomal RNA
Rfam family: Bacterial small subunit ribosomal RNA
Source: RNAcentral